Molecule: long non-coding RNA, 499 nt
Organism: Saccostrea echinata
Lineage: Eukaryota; Metazoa; Mollusca; Bivalvia; Ostreida; Ostreidae
Exons: 3
Source: RefSeq, a predicted model, not a curated record
UCUUUCCCUUAGAGGGCGCCACAGGCAAACUCGGUCCCGUAUCGGAAUACCCUCGCGCAUUAUCAGUAUCUAACUAUCGAAGAAAACGUAAACAAACCGCUGUCAAUCUCUUUUUUAACAUGCCUGAAACUUGCUGUUGUGUACCAGAAUGCAGUAAUCGAGGUGGACAUGUGUUUCCCUCUGAUCAAUCAAGAAGAAAAAUUUGGAUCCAUGCAAUUAAAUGCGGCGAAACCCGUUUUCAAAGUUGGGAACCUAAGACACAUGCUGUUGUAUGCAGGGCACACUUUAAAGCUGAUGACUACGUAACUGAAACUCAACACGACACUGACACAUGCAUGCCAAUAUUUGACUCCCGCUGACAUUCCCGAUUACACUUGUGAUCCAGUAAACAAGAAGCAUGUCUGGCAGCUCUAUAAAACUUCUGGAACUACACCCCUGAGUAAAAGACUUAAGAAAAGUGCGGUCCCUAGUAUUUUUUCCUGGGUUGAGCCAAGUCCCC